This is a long non-coding RNA of Varanus komodoensis (Komodo dragon), 1744 nucleotides long. Lineage: Eukaryota; Metazoa; Chordata; Lepidosauria; Squamata; Varanidae. The record is from Ensembl.
CUCCUAUGGGAUCAGGCAUUACUGCAGUCCGACCAACUGCUCCUACGGCCUGCUUCCUCUUCGUCCACGCCUCCUCAGCGCUUCUCCUCCACUGUGAGCGCUCCGGCGAAGUGUCCUUCCUCGACCUCUGCCAACCCUCCUCAGCGUCCUUCAGACGAGGGCGCCGCUUCUAUGGGGGCUCAGUCGCUGCCUUCUCCCCUGACUAAGAAACGGGAGAAGCGCAAGCAUACCAGUCUGGAUAAAACUUCCACCCAUAAGAAGUUGAGGAAGGAAAAGGUGGAUAAGCCUGCUCGCAAGAGCAAGAAACCUGACCACCCAAAGCAAUGAGGCUCAGGUUCAUCGGGCUUCUCAGUACCGAUGGCCACCACGGUACCGACCCCCUCGGGACUGGCUCUGCAACUCGUUAUGCAGGUGACACCACCGGGAUCCCCCAGGCCAACCACUCGGCCUGAGAGCGUGCCUUCCCAGCAACAGGAGGAGCCACUUCGGGAGUCCAUCUCUGAUGGCGAAAUCAGAGAUUUCCCACCAAGGGAACGCUCACCAACACCCAUGCCACCGACUGAAUCUCAUGUGGCCUCACCAUUACCUCCUAGAGGUCGCAGCCAUUUAUCCAAGCGUCGAGAUGAAAGUUGGUUGAUUCCGGGAUAUGGUGCUCCCCCUGGCUGGGGUGGGUACCAGCCAUAUCCCUAUUUCCCUCGUGAGCAGAGAUCACCAUCGGUCCUGAGGGAUGUGCCAUCCACCUCCAGUCGUACAGAGAUGAGGCGCCCAGCCUCCCCUGAAACCUCCUCCUCCUCAAACGACAACCGGCCGCACUAUGUGGAAGACUCCGAGGACUCGGAGGUCGACUCCACAUCCCCUGAUGUGGCUGUCGCAUAUCAAGGGUCUGUUUCACCUGACGAACCUCAUGUCUCGUUCACAGAGCUCAUGUCCCACUUGGUUUGUUCGCUUGAAAUCAAAGCCCAUCAACAGCCAGGCCCUUCGACAGAUCACUUCUAUGAUGUCGUUUGGGGAGAGCAGUCCGCAUCCAUAGCUCUGCCGCUUAUAACUACACUGCGCCAGGCUAUGGUCCAACCCUGGAACCAACCGGCCCAACCACAAGCGACCUCCCGCAGAUAUGAGGCUAUGUAUAGAGUUCAGGACGAUGACAUUCCCUUCCUGCUCCAUCACCCAAAACCAAACUCUCUUGUGGUUGAAUCCUCCCAGGGCAGGGAGUCCAGGGACAUACCACUCCUCGGGACAAGGAAGGGAGGAAAAUCUAUAUGCUUGCACGCCUCUGGACUCGGCGUGCGCAUAUUGAACUACGAAGCGACACUGGCACGUUACCACUACUUUAUCAUGCAGAAGCUGGAUAACGUCGCUUCCUCCCUUCCGGACCACCAAGCGGACCUUGCCAGGGUUUUUAUUAAGGAGGCGAUGCAGGUGGCGGUACAACAGCUGUCUACCGCUCGUCACCAUGUAGACACCAAUUCAAGGGCCCUCGUCAACAGCAUCUCGCUACGCCGAUAUGCAUGGCUCCGCAAUUGUAAUUUCCCCGAUGAGAUGAAGCGCAGAAUCAAGGAAAUGCCUUUGAUGGUACCGGUCUGUUCCACCAGAAGACUGACCAAAAAUUAAAGGCGAUUCAUGAAUCACGCCUAACCGCACGCCGCAUGGAGCUCCCGCAAAAACGUAAGUGGCAGUGGCCCCAGUCAUCCCACCGGCAUCAACCAUAUUAUCCGCGCCAGCAAAACUACCCUCAAACCCAAAA